This is a long non-coding RNA of Manacus vitellinus (golden-collared manakin), 1241 nucleotides long. NCBI's taxonomy places the organism in Eukaryota, Metazoa, Chordata, Aves, Passeriformes, Pipridae. The record is from Ensembl.
AGGAAGAGGACAUUGGCAAACCACUGUCCCCACAGGAAGAGGACAUUUUAAAACCACUGUCCCCACAGGAAGAGGACAUUUUAAAACCACUGUCCCCAGCAGAAGAAAACCCUGUCCCGUGCGGCCCCACUGACUCGUCACAGCUGGAGCACCACGGGAUUGGGAAGGAGCCGGACGUGGAGUCUCAGCUGGAGCACCCACAGAGGCGGCCCAGGAGUGGCGUGUUUGGAGGGAUGAAAAGAAUAAGGAACUGGUUCCGCGAGCCAAGAGACGAGGCAGCGGAACGGGAACACCAGAGGAGGCAGAUGUACGUGGAGAAGUGGCUGGAAGACCAUUUGUCCUGCAAUUACAACAUCAACGAAGAGAGGAGGCAGAAGGGUGAAGAGCUGGCGCGACAGAAAGCCGAGCAAAUGGAACGGGAGUACAGGGAGAAGUACGAGGGCAGAGACGACUGGAUUGAAGAGUUUUUGCUCCGCAGUCCUUACUGCCCAGUCCCCAGAAAGCCAGAGCAGGAGAGGGACAGGCCCCAAGAGCCGGCCCAGGGGGAGGAGUCCAAGAGCCAAGGACUCGCCCAAGAGAAAGCAGACCAAGAGGAACAGCCAUGCCAAGGGCCAGAGGAGAACGACCAGGCCAAGGAGCUUUCUCAAGGGCAAGACAACGGAGUCCAAGGGCUGUCCCAAGGGCACGAUGACAAACCCUUGGGCCCGGGCAGCGACGACGACCCCCUGGAGGGGCCCAGCUCUCUCUACAUCCCGAGCAAGUCCCAGCGGCCUCUCUCUUCCAAACAACCAAAGGCAGACACUUCUCCAUCCACCAGUGAGGAGCAGACCCCAGCAGCAUCCCGCAGCUCCUCCCAGGGCAGCCAAGUUCUGCAGGACACAGUCCAGCCCCUCAUCCACGACAUCCUGAGCAAGGCUGUGCUGGAGGUGGACACUUUAUCCAUCACUGAGUCCUACACCCCAGCAGGGUCCCGGAACCCCUCCCAGGGCAGCCAAGCUCUGUGGGACACAGCUCAGAAAUUAAUCCAGCACUUCCUGAGCAAGGCUGCGCUGGAGGUGCAGGGGUGCCCCCAGCAGCCAGAGGAGCAGCACAAGCUGGGACAAAGCCCGGCUGCAGACGUGGCACCAGCAGUUGCAGCCCAGGCCGUGUCCCCAGGGGCAGAGGGCAGUGAAGCCCCCAGGGCUGUCCCCGGGAAACGUCCCUCCCUGUUGAGGCGCACGCUCCGCGCUGUGCACAGGCUG